Long non-coding RNA from Saccostrea echinata, 239 nucleotides. RefSeq lists it as uncharacterized. The transcript is spliced from 4 exons. NCBI's taxonomy places the organism in Eukaryota, Metazoa, Mollusca, Bivalvia, Ostreida, Ostreidae. The record is from RefSeq and is a predicted model, not a curated record.
AAAUCAGUAUGGAAGUAAAGCUGAAGGAAGAGCUUAAAGCAGAAAUGUGUUCCUAUUGACAAGGCAACAAUUGAAUCAAACCAAACAGAGCAAAGAGUGGAGGAAAAUGGAGGAAGUCAUGGACAUAACAGAAAACAUAUGACCUAAUACCUGCAGAUUUUGAAUUCAUAUCAUCAGUGCAUCUAAAUUGGUCAAAAGAUGAAAGAUCUCAGCAUAAAUUGUUCAAUCAUGCAAAGCAU